CAAUAGCGUAUAUUAAAGUUGUUGCAGUUAAAAAGCUCGUAGUUGGAUUUCUGGUGGGAGCGAUCGGUCUGGCGCUUAGCGCGAGUACUUGCAUCGUCUCCGGCCAUCCUUGGGGAGAGUCUGUCUGGCAUUAGGUUGUCGGGCAGAGGAUCCUCAUCGUUUACUGUGAAAAAAUUAGAGUGUACAAAGCAGGCUUAUGCCGUUGAAUAUAUUAGCAUGGAAUAAUAAGAUAGGACUUUGGUACUAUUUUGUUGGUUUGCGCACCAAAGUAAUGAUUAAUAGGGACAGUUGGGGGUAUUCGUAUUCCGUUGUCAGAGGUGAAAUUCUUGGAUUUACGGAAGACGAACUACUGCGAAAGCAUUUACCAAGGAUGUUUUCAUUAA
RNAcentral lists this ribosomal RNA (383 nucleotides) under uncultured eukaryote. Its description in RNAcentral is "partial 18S ribosomal RNA". It matches the Rfam family "Eukaryotic small subunit ribosomal RNA", at positions 592 to 976 of the family's 1831-position model. The record is from RNAcentral.